GAUUCCCCCAGUAGCGGCGAGCGAACGGGGAGCAGCCCAGAGUCUGAAUCAGCUUGUGUGUUAGUGGAACGGUCUGGAAAGUCCGACGGUACAGGGUGAUAGUCCCGUACACCAAAAUGCACAGGUUGUGAACUCGAAGAGUAGGGCGGGACACGUGGUAUCCUGUCUGAAUAUGGGGGGACCAUCCUCCAAGGCUAAAUACUCCUGACUGACCGAUAGUGAACCAGUACCGUGAGGGAAAGGCGAAAAGAAC
RNAcentral lists this ribosomal RNA (253 nucleotides) under Klebsiella pneumoniae. RNAcentral describes it as "partial 23S ribosomal RNA". It matches the Rfam family "Bacterial large subunit ribosomal RNA", at positions 233 to 524 of the family's 2925-position model. The record is from RNAcentral. Lineage: Bacteria; Pseudomonadati; Pseudomonadota; Gammaproteobacteria; Enterobacterales; Enterobacteriaceae.